This 415-nucleotide ribosomal RNA is filed under the name Neoperla clymene. RNAcentral describes it as "partial 12S ribosomal RNA". The stretch from base 53 to 415 matches the Rfam family "Microsporidia small subunit ribosomal RNA", at positions 751 to 1207 of the family's 1311-position model. Lineage: Eukaryota; Metazoa; Arthropoda; Insecta; Plecoptera; Perlidae. The record is from RNAcentral.
UAAACUACGAUUAGAUACCCUAUUAUUGUGAGUGUGAAAAUGUUUGAUUGUCGGAAUAGUAUUAGUUAAGUUCUUAAAAUUUAAAGAAUUUGGCGGUAUUUCAGUCCUUUCAGAGGAACCUGUCCCUUGAUCGAUAUUCCACGUUGUAUCUUACUUAGUUUUGUUGAUCAGCUUGUAUACCGCCGUCGUCAGAAUGUCCUUUCAGGGUAUGAAUUUUCUUUUAUUGGAAGUGAAUUAGAUGUCAGGUCAAGGUGCAGUUUAUAAUUAAGUGGAGAUGGGUUACAAUAAAAUUAUUUAUAUGGAAGAUGAUUUGAAAAUAUUAAAGUUGUCAGAAGGUGGAUUUGAUUGUAAUUUUUGAGAUUAAGAUAUAUUGAUUUUUGGCUCUGAGAUAUGCACACAUCGCCCGUCGCUCUUA